UGCUGCUGCCUGUAGAUGGGACU
RNAcentral lists this unclassified non-coding RNA (23 nucleotides) under Mus musculus (house mouse). Its description in RNAcentral is "oocyte_clustered_small_RNA6707". Lineage: Eukaryota; Metazoa; Chordata; Mammalia; Rodentia; Muridae. The record is from RNAcentral.